RNAcentral lists this ribosomal RNA (253 nucleotides) under uncultured bacterium. Its description in RNAcentral is "partial 16S ribosomal RNA". It matches the Rfam family "Bacterial small subunit ribosomal RNA", at positions 524 to 776 of the family's 1533-position model. The record is from RNAcentral.
UACGAAGGGGGCUAGCGUUGCUCGGAAUCACUGGGCGUAAAGGGUGCGUAGGCGGGUCUUUAAGUCAGGGGUGAAAUCCUGGAGCUCAACUCCAGAACUGCCUUUGAUACUGAAGAUCUUGAGUUCGGGAGAGGUGAGUGGAACUGCGAGUGUAGAGGUGAAAUUCGUAGAUAUUCGCAAGAACACCAGUGGCGAAGGCGGCUCACUGGCCCGAUACUGACGCUGAGGCACGAAAGCGUUGGGAGCAAACAGG